Molecule: ribosomal RNA, 655 nt
Filed under: uncultured Legionella sp.
Lineage: Bacteria; Pseudomonadati; Pseudomonadota; Gammaproteobacteria; Legionellales; Legionellaceae
Description: bacterial SSU rRNA
Rfam family: Bacterial small subunit ribosomal RNA
Source: RNAcentral
AGCCUGCGUCCGAUUAGCUAGUUGGUGGGGUAAGGGCCUACCAAGGCGACGAUCGGUAGCUGGUCUGAGAGGAUGACCAGCCACACUGGAACUGAGACACGGUCCAGACUCCUACGGGAGGCAGCAGUGGGGAAUAUUGGACAAUGGGGGCAACCCUGAUCCAGCAAUGCCGCGUGUGUGAAGAAGGCCUGAGGGUUGUAAAGCACUUUCAGUGGGGAGGAGGUUACUUAGGUUAAGAGCUAGAGUGAUGGACGUUACCCACAGAAGAAGCACCGGCUAACUCCGUGCCAGCAGCCGCGGUAAUACGGAGGGUGCGAGCGUUAAUCGGAAUUACUGGGCGUAAAGAGUGCGUAGGUGGUUAAGUAAGUUAUCUGUGAAAUCCCUGGGCUCAACCUGGGCAGGUCAGAUAAGACUGUUUAACUCGAGUAUGGGAGAGGGUAGUGGAAUUUCCGGUGUAGCGGUGAAAUGCGUAGAGAUCGGAAGGAACACCAGUGGCGAAGGCGGCUACCUGGCCCAAUACUGACACUGAGGCACGAAAGCGUGGGGAGCAAACAGGAUUAGAUACCCUGGUAGUCCACGCCGUAAACGAUGUCAACUAGCCGUUGGUUAUAUGAAUAUAAUAAGUGGCGCAGCAAACGCGAUAAGUUGACAUCGU